RNAcentral lists this ribosomal RNA (252 nucleotides) under uncultured bacterium. RNAcentral's name for it is "partial 16S ribosomal RNA". It matches the Rfam family "Bacterial small subunit ribosomal RNA", at positions 524 to 776 of the family's 1533-position model. The record is from RNAcentral.
UACGUAGGUGGCGAGCGUUAUCCGGAAUGAUUGGGCGUAAAGGGUGCGUAGGCGGACUGUCAAGUCAGCGGUAAAAUUGAGAGGCUCAACCCCUUCCCGCCGUUGAAACUGGUGGUCUUGAGUGGAUGAGUAGUACGCGGAAUGCGUGGUGUAGCGGUGAAAUGCAUAGAUAUCACGCAGAACUCCGAUUGCGAAGGCAGCGUACCGGCAUCCAACUGACGCUGAGGCACGAAAGCGUGGGGAUCAAACAGG